UUAAGUUAGAAAGGGCGCGGGGCGGAUGCCUUGGCCGUGGACGGCGAUGAAGGACGUGGUAAGCUGCGAUAAGCUGCGGUAAGGUGCAAACAACCUUUGAGCCGCAGAUUUCCGAAUGGGGAAACCCGGCUGGUAUAAACCAGUCAUUCAUAAGUGAAUUCAUAGCUUAUGAAAGCAAACGCAGGGAAGUGAAACAUCUCAGUACCUGCAGGAAGAGAAAGCAAAAGCGAUUCCGUAAGUAGCGGCGAGCGAACGCGGAGCAGCCUAAACCGUAUGUGUGUCAAGCUUCAGGGCGUUGCAUAUGCGGGGUUGAGGGACAACUUGGGGUGCGCCUGAAUGCACCCAGAGAGUAGUGAUGAUUUAAGAGAAGGCUCUGGAAAGUGCCGCCAAAGAGGGUGACAGCCCCGUAUCUGAAAAAUCAUUGCCUUUCGAGUUGCACCCGAGUAUGGCGGGACACGAGAAAUCCUGUCAGAAUCUAGGUGGACCAUCACCAAAGGCUAAAUACGUUCCAUGGACCGAUAGUGAACCAGUACCGUG
Molecule: ribosomal RNA, 537 nt
Filed under: Favella ehrenbergii
Lineage: Eukaryota; Ciliophora; Spirotrichea; Tintinnida; Xystonellidae
Description: partial Bacterial large subunit ribosomal RNA
Rfam family: Bacterial large subunit ribosomal RNA
Source: RNAcentral